AUUGAACGCUGGCGGCAGGCCUAACACAUGCAAGUCGAACGGAUGUAGAGAGCUUGCUCCUGUAUUCAGUGGCGGACGGGUGAGUAAUGCCUAGGGAUCUGCCUGUUAGUGGGGGAUAACGGCCGGAAACGGGCGCUAAUACCGCAUACGCCCUAAGGGGGAAAGUGGGGGAUCUUCGGACCUCACGCUAUCAGAUGAACCUAUGUCGGAUUAGCUAGUUGGUGGGGUAAAGGCCUACCAAGGCGACGAUCCGUAGCUGGUCUGAGAGGAUGAUCAGUCACACUGGAACUGAGACACGGUCCAGACUCCUACGGGAGGCAGCAGUGGGGAAUAUUGGACAAUGGGCGCAAGCCUGAUCCAGCCAUGCCGCGUGUGUGAAGAAGGUCUUCGGAUUGUAAAGCACUUUAAGUUGGGAGGAAGGGCAGUAAGUUAAUAGCCUGCUGUGUUGACGUUACCAACAGAAUAAGCACCGGCUAACUUCGUG
This 484-nucleotide ribosomal RNA is filed under the name uncultured bacterium. RNAcentral describes it as "partial 16S ribosomal RNA". It matches the Rfam family "Bacterial small subunit ribosomal RNA", at positions 30 to 507 of the family's 1533-position model. The record is from RNAcentral.